This 4969-nucleotide long non-coding RNA is filed under the name Sus scrofa (pig). Its description in RNAcentral is "lncRNA (ENSSSCG00055003176.1)". The record is from RNAcentral. Lineage: Eukaryota; Metazoa; Chordata; Mammalia; Artiodactyla; Suidae.
GCCAGAUCCUUAACCCACUGAGCAAGGCCAGGGACCGAACCUGCAGCCUCAUGGUUCCCAGUGGGAUUUGUUAACCACUGCGCCUCAACGGAUUUCUAACAAAGGUGUCCUGACAAUCCAGCGGGGGAAGGAAGAGCCUUUUCCACCAGCGGAUCCCCCACUGCAAGAGAAUACAACUGGACCCCAACUGGUACCAUAUACAAAAUUUAAGUCAAAAUGGACUAAAAUAUAAGAGUUAAACUACAAUACUCAGAAGAAAAUACAAGGGUGACUUCCUAACAGUGGAUUUGGUGAUGGACUCUCAGGUAUGACACCAAAAGCACAAAAGAAGAAAACAGAUAAAUUGGACUUCCUCAAAAUUAAAAAUAGCUGCACUUCAAAGGCUACUAUCAAAGCUUCUGCCCAAAGCCUACAGAACGGCAAAAACAUUUCCUAGUCAUGCAUGUAAGGGAUUUGUACCUACAAUCUUCGAUGCACAAAAAGCUCACAAUUCACCCAAAAAAAGAUAAUCCAAUCGAAGUGCGCAAAGGACUUCUUCAGACAUUUCUGUAAGGAAGAUAAACAAAUGCCAAUAAGCACAAAAAAUGCUCCACGUCACUGGUCAUUAGGGAAAAUGCAAGUCAAAAGCACAAGUCGGAGUUCCCGUCAUGGCUAAGUGAUUAACGAAUCCGACUAGGAACCAUGAGGUUGUGGGUUCGAUCCCUGGCCUUGCUCAGCGGGUUAAGGACCCCGCGCUGCCCUGAGCUGUGGUGUAGGCCACUGCAGCUGUGGUGGAGGCCGGCAGCUGCAGCUCCCAUUCGACCCCCUCGUCUGGGAACGUCCACAUGCCACAAGCGCAGCCCUACAAAGACAGAAAAAAGAAUGCUCAUACCAUCUUCUGUGAAACGACCCCAAGGCCCACGGACAGUACGAUACAGAAGCGAUGGGAGAGUCCGCGGUAGUGAGAGUAACCACAACACAGGGGACUCUCAGAGAGACAAGGCUGGUCCGAAGAGGUGGACAGGACGGCACUCUCGUGGGUCCUGUGCAUAAAGUUCGGAGUCAGGCAGAACUAACCCAAGUAUCACAAGUCAGGAUGGCAGAGACGGCUGGGCAAGUCCAGGGCAGACCAGGAGGGGCACCGGGGCUUCUGUGGUUCUGGGGACGUCCCCUGCUUGAUCCGGGGACUAGGGACAUACAUGACACGGUGCACAUGUGUGCGUGUGUUUCCUACAUUCAUAGAGAUUCUGAAAAGAACACACGUCUUACUGCUGUUGAACCUGGUUAAGAGACGGCGACAGACCCUCCAGAAGCAGCGUGACAGAUUCCAGCACACCCUCGCUACAAGAGAAGGAAGACAGGGCCAACUAAGUCAGAGGCGGGGACACCUGACGCUUCAGUGCCCACAUGACUGCCAUGUGGUUUCACCCUAGCGUUCAAGUUCACAGAACACCGGCCAAUGGCAAGAAUGAGGAAGCAACCAAGACUCUCCAAGCCUAAAUCUAGCCUUGGAGUCUGGUGGGGAGUGAGGACCUAGACUCCGGGAGAGAAAGAAUCCAAACAGCCAGCGUAGCCAACAGUUCGCAAAGCACACCGGACAGAGGACGUUCUGGCCUUUCGGAGGCUGGGGCCUGCUAGGAGGCAACGGGUCCAAUGCUGUCUGUGGAGUAUCAGGAAGACCCAGCCCUCCCUUUCCACGUGUGAUACGCUUCGUGGUAACGGAGCAGUUUUGCUCGAAGCGUGGAGAGACGCCGCUCUGCAACCCCUACGAGCCAGUGAUUCUGAGCGACGAGUGUGACUGUUAACACCACAAAGCAAGACGUCAGAUUUACGGCUGGAAAAACUCAAUUCCAGGUACCUCAUAUACUUGCUCAAAUUUUUUUAAAAGACAAACCUACAUCUGAUGGAGCCUCUAGCCCAGGGCUGUCUAAUGAAAAGAUAAUGUGAACCACAUAUAUAAUUUUUAAUGUUCUUUCUUUCUUUUUUUUGCUUUUUAAGGCCGCAACCCAUGGCAUGUGGAGGUUCCCAGGCUAGGGGUCGAAUCGGAGCCGUAGCCACCGACCUGCACCACAGCCACGGCCAUGCAGGAUCUGAGCCUCGUCUGCAACCGACACCACAGCUCACGGCAACACCGGAUCCUUAACCCCCUGAGCGAGGCCACAUCCUCAUGGAUACCGGUCAGGUUCGUUACCACUGAGCCACAACAGGAACUUCUCUAGUAAUCACAUUUAAAAAAGGAAUUAUAAACACAAAUUACUUUUAAUACAUCUCACUUAAGCCAACAUAACCAAAAGACACGACUUCAACACGCAAACAAGCUUCUUCACGUCGAGUGUGACGCUUUACACUCUCCCGUUCACACCAAGUCUGCAAACCCCGCAUGCACUUAGCACUCACAGCACAUCUCAGCUCUAAAGAACCGCAUGUGACUGGGGGCUGUCACACUGGGAAGCAGCUCCAGAUCUCAAACACCAGUGGCAGGAAGGAGAGAGGACGAAGCCACAUGUUAAACGACAUCAUGAGAAUGUAAUCAGCAAAGUCAAGGUUAAGGGGAACUUCGGGACAAAUGAACCAUCCUCCUCAAAACUUCGCUGUCAGAAAAAGAAUAAAGACAUGGGGAGUUCCCACUGUGGCACAACGGAAUCAGCAGCAAUUCUGCAGCACCAAGACGCAGGCCCAGCACAGUGGGUUAAAGGAUCCGGCGUUGUGACAAAGGCAGCAACUAUGGCUCAGACCUGAUCCCUGGCCCAGGAGCUCCACAUGCCACAGAGUUUUUUUUACAAAAGUGUAAAAAAAAAGAGAGAGUGCUACAUGUCAUAUUUUGUUCCUAAUUUGAAAUAAGAAAUCUAGACAGUGAGUGAAUAUUUACUGACUGAGAUAAUUACAGUAAGUGAAACGUAUCUAAAAACGGCUUCGAGAAGUUCCCGCAGUGCUGUAGCAGGUUAGAGAUCCAGCUCUGACCCCUGGGGGUGUAGGUUCCAUCCCCGGCCCAGCACAGUGGCUGAGGACCGGGUGUUGCUACAGCUCUGUCAUCGGUCACAGCUGGGCCUCAAACGGGGCCCCUGGCUGGGGAACUUCCAUACGCUAUGGGUGUCAUCUAAAAAAAAAAGGAAAAAAGAAAAAGAACUGCAUCAAAAUAAUUGAGAAUGGACUGGAGAGUGGCCGAGAGGAGACAAACGUUGACACCAGGGGACAAGCACACGGGACUCGUUCUGCCACCUGAGUAGGUUUGAAAAAGUUCCAUGAAAGGAGGUCCCUUUGGUGGCUCAGCGGUUAACGAAACCGACCCUGGCCUCACUCAGCAGGUUAAGGAUCCAGCGCUGCCCUGAGCUGUGGGGUAGGUCGAAGACGCGGCUCGGAUCCCACGUUGCUGUGGCCAUGGUGUAGGCCAGUGGUUGUAGCUCCCAUUCAGCCCCUAGCCUGGGAACCUCAUGUGCCACGGGAGCGGCCCAAGAAAUGGCAAAAAAGACAAAAACAAAAAACAAAAACAAAAAACGAGAAUUCUAAAAUAUCCACCUAUGAAUUUGACAGUAUAUGUUCAGUCACUAGGACGCCGGCAGCCUGCCCAGGACAGAGCCGAGUGGCUGGGACACAGGAGGCAGACGCCCCAGUUCACCUCAUCCCUUCUGGAUUCGGAGCCAGGUAACGGGCUCUUCCACUCAAACUAAGUCGAGACACGCGGCUCGACCCACUCGGCCGCCUCUCACGCCCCCGCCAAGCUGCAGGGCACCAGCCUCCUCACUGCCGCCCUCCAGCCACCUUCUUAAAAUAUCAACCCAGGCCUAAGGCUCGCCUGAGGGCCCCGAGAGACCACCAACUCGCCACCAGGGCGACAGGGCCCUCGAUGACCUUCGCCCCUUCGGACCGAGUAACUCUACCGCGUACCAGAGGGGACAGACUCGCCCAACUCACAACCCAGGAAGCUGGAACAUCUAGCAAACAAACACCGCGUGGCUGGCAAAACGGGAAAGACACAGACACACGCAUGGCGCCCGCACGCGGACAGAGCCGCUCUGAGCACGAGCGCGCACACGCGGGCGGGCGGGGCAGAAACUAACCCGACAACGAGCCGGCAUUCUUAGGGGUCUGGGUCUCGCUUUUCAGUUCUGCUCAGAUGCCCGAUUUUUUGGACAUGCACAGCUGUACCUUGCCCUUCCGCUUCAGGUCUCACCAGCUUUACCACCUGGACCAACUCCUCCUCCUCCGGGACCCUUUCCGAACACGGCCGCCGGCAGCUAUCGGUGCGAGAGUACAGGCUUCUUCUUGUUUACCUUUAACUGAUUCCAUCUCAUUUCCUGCUGGGUAAUAUUUGCUCUAUAACACGCUCAGAUUUUUGUGACAUCAGAGACCAAUCUUAUAAACUCACACUCUCACCCGAGACCUGGAAUAGCACUUUGUAAACACAAGGUGCUCAAUAAAUGCAAGAGUAUUUUAAACAUACUUUGAUCAGAACUUACAAAUCCACUAAAAGCGGGCUGCGGAAAGCAGUCCAAAACCUUUCCCAAAGCAAAACAUCAAGUGACAGGGAUGUCACUGAGAGUGAGGAAAUGCCGCCUUUGAAGAGUUAGAAGAUCGCUUCAACUUUCGUUUUUUUAAAUCCAAAACCUACUAAAGUUGGGUUUUUCUUAAAUAAAUGAAGAUACCAGAAGUUAAAUACAAGCGGAACCGCACUCGGGAGGACGUCUCAGUUUUAGAACUGAAGCUUUUCCUAUCACACCUGCGGAGGCCGACAUACCUGGUCUCCAGGAACACGGCCCUGAGUGACUGGCUGAGGGGCACCGCGAGCUGAAACCACCUGCCCACUUUGCCAUGAGACAACGUCAUCCACCCGACAUGGCCGUCCGGGGACACGGCGAAGGACAGACCAGUCCCAAAGAGAAGAGCCCAAAAUAGGCUUCCCAUCAGCUGCAUUACUUUCGAAGUCAAACUCAACAUGCUCAAAUGUACCAAACUGUUUUGUGAUGUGACCGGAAAGCAAAGAGGAAAGCAG